ACGCUCGACACCUACUGGAGGCAGCAGUGGGGAAUAUUGGGCAAUGGGCGCAAGCCUGACCCAGCAACGCCGCGUGAAGGAAGAAGGCUUUCGGGUUGUAAACUUCUUUUAUCAGGGACGAAAUAAAUGACGGUACCUGAUGAAUAAGCCACGGCUAACUACGUGCCAACAGCCGCGGUAAUCUGAGCGGGCUGGCAAGGC
RNAcentral lists this ribosomal RNA (201 nucleotides) under uncultured bacterium. RNAcentral describes it as "partial 16S ribosomal RNA". It matches the Rfam family "Bacterial small subunit ribosomal RNA", at positions 328 to 539 of the family's 1533-position model. The record is from RNAcentral.